UGCCAAAGAGUAGUGCUAAUAACAGAACCUGUUUGACAUCUCUACAUGUUUUGUAAAAUGUCACAAACGGCAAACAAACCUUGUUAGUGUUUAAACCAGUGCAUGACACCUUACCUAGUCGCACAACUCUUGAGAGCGACAUCUUGGGCUUUCAGCACCCUGCCGCCGCCUCCCUGAAUAGUGUCCGGUUCAACCCGUAGCAACCACAAACGGGUACGUAAUUUUCGUCGUAACUGAUAUUACGACUGCCAAAAAACGGCCAUUAGUAAACAUGAUAUCCACACGGGAGCGACGGAAUCAUUCUAAAAAAAUUGAACAAAAAUCGUAUGCCAGGGACAGAUAUAGAUUAACUCAUGAUGUGAGCCCAGAUGAAAGCAUUGACUUGGGUUUGGAUAGAGAUAUUAUUGACUUGGAUGAUUAUUAUGAAGAAAAUGGUAUAUCGGCUUCUACCACCGAAAUUAAAUCAAGGAAACCCCCAACAUUAAACACCAAGCCUGUGAAUUCAACAUUCAAUCUGGACAGACAUGGAGAUGGAGUCAAUUCAGUACAGGACAGCUUUAAUAUCAUGGGUCUCUCUCAUAAAGCUGAAUUUAAUAACAACUUAGAAAAAGAAAAAACCAAAUGGAUAUACAACUAUGAAGAUGAAUACAGCAAGAAAAAGACAAGCACUUCUAGGCAAAGACAAGAUACCAGUGAUGUCAUUUCAAAUGGAACUGGAUAUGAAAACUUUCCAAAAAAUGAAUAUGUUAGAACAGCUAAAAAUGGCCAAGAUGCUGCUAGGGCAGACAGAAAACCAAGACGUCUCCCUCAAAUUCCACCAUCUCUGUCAGGUGAAGAUGAAUUCCAGGCAGUGUCCAAUGGGACUGUACCAGAGUCGCAAAGUGAAAGGCAUGAUCUUCAUUUGCCUCAGCAUAAAGCUAGUCCUAUGUCCAUAUCAACCUCCUCAGAGAAAUCCCUUGCUGAAGAAAUAUGGGAUGCUGAGCACCCCCAACCAAGUGACCGUACCCCUCUUCAGACACCGGAGACUUUUUCCCCCAACCUCCCCUUUUCUGAUGAAGGAGAAGAAGAGUAUGAAGAAAAUCCCCACUUCUUUCAAAGAGACAGAGCACUUACAGAUGAUAUGCAUUUGAAAUUCAAUACUACAUCUGCAAAUAACAAGGCAUUUCUGAGUUUUGACAAUGUUUACCUGAUGGAAGACUCAUCACCAGAAGAGAAACCAAGAAAGAAACCAGCAUCUCCGACUCAAAGAUUGGGAAAGAUUCCAGGUGUGGAGUCAAAAGGUGCAAUAUCGAGAAGCAGCUCAUGUUUAAGUGACUUGUGCAUAGAAUCAACUCAUAGGGGAGCUCACAAGUUUAUACCUAGGCAUAGUGAUGAAAUUGCAGUGGAGAUUGGAGACCCCAUAUAUGUAGAGGAAGAAGCAGAUGACUUAUGGUGUCAUGCUGUAAAUCUCAGAACUGGAAAAAGAGGCAUUUUUCCAUCAGCAUAUGUUUAUGAAAAGAAUCUCUUUCAUGAUGAGGAAACGGAGGAAGAUAAGAACAGAGUUGAUAAAUUCAUGCUGUAUUUUCUGGGUUCCAUCGAAGUGAAUUUCCACAAGGGUCAUGAUGUUUUGUGCCAAGCAAUACAUAAGGUAGCUUUGACCAGAAGAAUGACUUUGAACACAACACCACCUCCUCAGUGUAGAUUGGAAAUUAGUUCAUUUGGAAUUAAAAUGAUUGUCAAAACAAAGUCAAAAGAUAAGGCCAAGGAAAAAGAAUCUCUUUCUUCUUCCCUCUCAAGCCUUAGAAGUUCUUUCAGGAAGAAACUUGGGAAGGUGUUGGGAAAUAAGGUGCAUGGUCCUUGCUUUGGUUUGGCUUGCUUUUCAUUUAAUUCAGAAUUUUGUUCUACCCUCAUUAUGGUGUUUGCAUUUUAGUCUUAAGUGUGCAUCGAGAUGGUUUUGUUCUCGGCAUGGUAAUUCAUGUUGAUUAUUAGGACAAGUCAGGAAAUGCCCAUUUUUUCUCAUUGAAGAAUGUCUCAUUCUGUGGAUUUCAUCCAAAGAACCAAAAGUAUUUUGGGUUUAUCA
RNAcentral lists this unclassified non-coding RNA (2059 nucleotides) under Lingula anatina. Its description in RNAcentral is "uncharacterized LOC106166397, transcript variant X2". Lineage: Eukaryota; Metazoa; Brachiopoda; Lingulata; Lingulida; Lingulidae. The record is from RNAcentral.